CCUACGGGAGGCAGCAGUGGGGAAUAUUGGUCAAUGGGCGCGAGCCUGAACGAGCAAAGUAGCGUGAAUGAUGACUGCCCUACGAGUUUAACACUUCGUUUAUAAAGAAAUAAGGUGGGGCGCGUAUGCCUUUUUGUAUGUACUUUAUGAAUAAGGAUCGGCUAGCUCCGUGCCAGCAGCCGCGGUAAUACGGAGGAUCCGAGGGUUAUCCGGAUUUGUUGGGUUUAGAGGGAGCGUAGAUGGGUUGUUAAGUCAGUUGUGAAAGUUUGCGGCUCAACCGUAAAAGUGCAAUUGAUACUGGAAGACUUGAGUACAGUUGAGGUAGGUGGAACUCGAGGUGUAGCGGUGAAAUGCUUAGAUAUAACGAAGAACUCCGAUUGCGAAGGCAGCCUACUAAACUGCAACUGACACUGAUGCUCGAAAGCGUGGGUAUCAAACAGGAUUAGAUACCCGAGUAGUC
This 460-nucleotide ribosomal RNA is filed under the name uncultured bacterium. RNAcentral describes it as "partial 16S ribosomal RNA". It matches the Rfam family "Bacterial small subunit ribosomal RNA", at positions 338 to 795 of the family's 1533-position model. The record is from RNAcentral.